CAGGGCUGGAAUCCUGCAUUUCCCCAAAGUCCCUUCCUUUUUAGUCUGGCCAGUCCUUUUCCUUCGCACCAAGAGAAAGAGUCUCUGGCAGUCGUUUGGGACGCCGGAUCCAAGAGGUGCAGGAGAGGAUUUCGGGAGAGGGAAGGACGCGAUCUGGGCCCAAGCUGAACUUUGCGCCCUCUGCCUUAGAGGUUCCCCGAGUACAGAGUUGGAGGGGAAGGAAAACUUCGGCCGCCCUUUAAUUCUGAAACACGCUUGCUUUCUCCAGGAGGGGGCGUGAGGAGCGCUGAGCGGCGAGACCACGGUGUGGGACCCGGGAGCCAUUGUUGGAACAGGAUGGACACCUUGUAGAAACAAACCUCCCCCAAGUUGCAUGGAGUUUGGGUUUUGUUAUUGUUGUGUCUAGAAGCCAGUAGCUGGGGCUCAGGUUUUUUCCAGAAUGGCAUUCGGUCUGUACCUGCUCCAGGAACAGAGCUGCCAGAGGUGUAAUAAUAGCAUCUUCCAGUGUGGAAAUGUUUUCCAUCCACCGACGUUCCCCUUCCUUCUUCUCACUCCCUAUUCCUCUGUCCAACGUGAACGAAACCCGGGAGAAGGGGAAGAGUACCGGACAUGACAAUAUGAAAAAAAAAAAAAUUUCCCCCCUCAUGCCCAAGCGAUUUCCAACCCAGCAGCCUAAAUUCUUGAUUUUUGAUGUGCUUGGAAAGUAUUUGAAUUGAGUGAGAAGCUGUGUACUAUGGAAAGCAAGCGUGUAUAUUUGUUUCUCUUUUCCUUGUUAUUAGGAAGAAGUGAUAAAACCGACGACUGGCUCAGGUCUCCACAAGAACCAAAACAAAACAAAAAGGAGGCUUUAUUGUUGGCACGUAAAUUAGACAUGGCAAGUGGAGAGGACAAUGACACAAAUAUUAUUUCAAGAUUCAUCCAAGGAGUCAGGUUCUAUUUAGGGGAAGCCAGAGCGUCCAAACACAGCGUCGCCAGUCGCCAACUCGAGAGGUAUGGCCAGUUUCAGCUAGAACGGGACCCAAGCUCCCAAGAUGCCAAACCAGGCCAGCGAAAUAUCAAGCACAGGGGAUACCCGGAUGACAUCGGAAGCCAUUCCCAGCAGUAGAAUCCAGUGAGUCGAAACCCCCUGGCUUAGUGAAAAAUAUUGCAGCCCAAAUUCCUACAAGGGAAGAAAGUACAAGUUUUGAGAAACGGCUGAACUCCUGACCCUUUUCCUGCCAGGCGGCUGAAGAGGCAAACUUGGAGAGGCUCUUCCUUGUGCAGCCGGUUGAAACUUGCUGCCUCUGUUUAACCGCAAGUCCCAAGUCCCAACGCUGCAGGAAUUUCCCUUUCUCCAUGGCCUGUCUUUUGAGCAAGGCUGAGAAGAAGGUAAGAGGCCUUCUCUAUAAAGCUCUUUGGCGUCCCCAGGGGGUCCACUGGCAGCCGGUCUGUAGCGUUUCUGCUUGGGGUGGGGCAGCAGUGAAGGAUUCAUCUGGAGAUUCCCUCACCGGCCUCCCUCUUCAGGCCCUGCCUUAGCACUUAAUCCAUUACCCUGUACUUGACAGUGAUUUGCCAAUAGCUCACGUAACAGGAAGUUUCCCUGGUCAGUGGCUUCUCUCUGAUGGUUCCUUUUCAGCCUCCUUAAAGGCCUGCUUCUCUGCUAGGGCUCCAUAACCAUCCUCU
RNAcentral lists this long non-coding RNA (1662 nucleotides) under Lynx canadensis (Canada lynx). Its description in RNAcentral is "lncRNA (ENSLCNG00005005433.1)". The record is from RNAcentral. Lineage: Eukaryota; Metazoa; Chordata; Mammalia; Carnivora; Felidae.